UUUUAAUAAGUUGUGUAGUUG
Molecule: non-coding RNA, 21 nt
Filed under: Caenorhabditis elegans
Lineage: Eukaryota; Metazoa; Nematoda; Chromadorea; Rhabditida; Rhabditidae
Source: RNAcentral